CAUUCUAGGGGGUCAUGUGACAGCAGAAUCAACUUAAUUUUUGACGAGCAACCAAAUACCGACUGACAGCAUGUAUGAGGUAUAAACACCUUGAAACUCUGGUAGUAGUCUUUUCCGAACAAUGACUGCAAGCAAACAUUUUUCUAGAACCUUUUAUCUCGUGAUCAACUAGAAACACAUUCUUCUCUUCCAAGUGCCAAACGAAACAUCCGAGUACGAGUAGGCUGCAAACGCCUGUCAAGACAAGCUUCCAUUCGAACACACGUGGCGUUUUAGGUCAAGGUUUUGGAACUCGUUGGGGCCGUUCGCACGUGACAUUUUAUUCACUAAUAAUUAAUUUGGCCCAUCUUCCUUUUGAUGUUCUACACCAAUCAUCACCCCAAGACCUCGCACGUUGGCCGACGGAUCUUCAGCACUCGUCGGAGUCAAACCCCAUCCUUGCAUUGCAACAAAGGGAAUGUUGUGGAACCCUUUGCAACAUAGCUCGUGUUGCAGAAACAUUUCACAACAUAGACGAUGUUGCAGAUUUUUUUAAAAACAUUUGCAACAGAGAUCAUGCUACCAAUAACUUUUGCAACUGAGACCAUGUUGCAAAAAAAAAAUUACAACGAAAAUGAUGUUAUAGAAACGUUGCCGCGGCCGACCUGCCAUCGUUCAUCGUCAUUGUUUAUGAGACCGCCGUGGCCGUCGUUCAUGGCACCUAACAUCCCGUACAGGCCACAAAAAGGCUGAUGUGCAGCCGUUGCCAAAGAAAUCGAGACUGCAGAGAGAACGCAACACCAGGGACACGAUGGCUUGCCUACAGAAGCGACCACUUCCCUUGUAGCAGCGUCGGUAGCAAUGCAGUGCGACAGUAGGAGUAAAAGCAACGGGCAAGGCGACGAGGUUACAAAAGUUACAGCGCCAUGAUCAGGAGCUUGAGAAAGAAGCCGUGGAAAAUUGUGGAUGGAUAACGAUGUGUUAGCGUUGGCUCACAAAAGAAAGGGAUGCUUUGGUUGGAGCUGGAUAUUUCUAAAGAAAGGUGGGACCAGAAGAGCACAAGACCAGUUGAUCCCACAUACAAUCUGACGUCUGGACGGAAGCUUUUCCCUUCAAUAUUGGGGAGCUACCCAAAUUAUUCAUAAUUUUAGCCCAACCCUAUGACCAACCUCUAGUUUAAAUCCCUUUAUUCCUUUUCCUCUCCUUUUAUGCCAAACAAAUGCCAAGCCUUGCCAAUAGACCGUGGAUAAAUUUUUGGAGCUUUGAAAUGAUUCAGAGACCACAAUUUAAGUUUUCACGGCUUUUGGAAUUCAUUUGACCCACCAAAUGUUGUCCCUCAAGCCUCCUUUUUUCCGGGGAAAUGCCACCAUGGCUAGCUCUAUUAAAUAAGACAACAAUUACAUUGUUCAUUAAUUGGCUGAUUAGGAAACCCGGGGCCUCAUUAAUCCAAUUAUCAUCACACUUAUUACAAAAGCUGAAUUUAGCUAGCUCAUGAGCUAUCGAAUUAGCAUCACGAAAAACAACGCGAAAAGAUGACCUUCCGUAUUGAUGUUGCCGUGUCAAUGCACUCAACAAAGAUUGCCGCUGUUGCAUCCCACCACUGAUUUUGCCCUUGGCACUUUGGCAGUAGUUCACCACACUCAAGGAAUAGGACUCCGCUUCAGUUCUGUCAAAAACCAAAAGUGCUUGCAAAAUUUAAACCAUCACGCAUUGCCAUAGCCUCAACCGUCGCUACAUAUGCUGCAAACAUGAAUGAAUCUGCAUUGUGCAGCAAUAAAGCGGCCUUUAUCGUUCUGUCAUAGGACAGCGCCUGUCGCACCCGAUUCCUCCUCUGCAUGAAAAGAAGCAUCCACGUUCAGUUUGAUAAAUUUCGAACCCGGCCUCUUCCAUUUGUGCAGUCACAUCCUUGUUACGGCUAACAGACUUGGUAUGACUUGCAACAACUGCCAGAAGUGAGUUGGUCCACCCGAGCCUCCUUUAUUUUUUGUCUUUAAAAGAAAAAGAAGAAUUUCACCCCCCCUCUCCCUCCCUUCUCAGUUUUUUUUUUGAGCAACUCUCUUCUAGCCCGACCCACCGUGCACAGGAUGUCAGUGCACAAGUAGAGUGUGCGCAGUCCACACAGCCGGCCCAAGCCCGCUGGACCCUCCACCUGCCCUCUCGUCUAGCGUCUUCUCCAGUGAGAGAGAUCCACAGACGCGUGCGUCGGCCGACAUCAGUGAGCAACCACCGCGGCUCUCCUCUCCCCUUGAAGCCUCCCCAGCCACCCAAAUCCUAACCCUCCCGCCGCCGCCAGGUGGGUCUCCCCCUCCGUUUCCUUCUCCACCAAGCGAACCGAGGAGCGCCAGAGCAUCGCCGGAGCAGGCCACCGCGGCCAGCGUGCUCCGCCAGCGUUUUCUUCGUGACCGGGAGCCCCGACUGCACGACUGCUUCCUCUGCUCGGACGACCUCGAGCUCGGACGCCUCCACGCCGUCGAAUUGGUCGACCUCCUCCUCUUCGGCCUGUUCGCCGUCACCGUCCAAAUUCGCCGCCGGCCGACCUCCUCCCGCCCGUUCGGCUACGCCAGCAUCACCAGGUGAGCAGCCGCGCCAAAAGCCCCAGCCUCUCCCCCCCUCGAUUUCGUCCUCGGAGCACGAUCUCCGCGAGCGCCACCGUCGGCCACCGCUCGGUUUGGUCGCCGGCGUCGUUCCGAUAGUUGCUAGGUCACGCGCGUCGCGUCGCUAGACUAACACGAGCAAGUAGACCUCUCGCUUUUAAAACCAACAUUAGGCUCAGACGACUUAAAUGGCCCAAUUAAAUUAUUGCCCUCUCACCUGAGGCAAAUGCUUAUUGAUGCAGGGAAGAAGAAAAUGAACACCAUGCCGUCAGAAAAUGCUGAAAGGAGGGGAAGCGUGCUUGAUAAUCCGCAAAAGCAGCUGGAUGAGGUAAUCUGCUUUUGCAUCCCAAUUACUUUGUGCUUUCUUUUUAUAAUAUAUAGUUCCUGGAUAGCCUUGAAAUUGUUCACUAUUGCUAAAUUGCUUUCCUGCAUUUCUCUUCUGGUGCUAGAUCAUCUAACUUUUUUCAGUAUUAUUCUUUGUCAUCGUCAGUCUGUCCUCGAUAUGCAACUUUAUGGAAAAGCUCUAGAUGUGUUUGAGGAUGAUCCUGCUACCUCUGUAAGCUGCUAUAGCCUACGGGCAUUGUUCUCACAACAUUGCUUGCUACUCAAUACGUUAUCAGCCUUUACUUAGGUCCUUUUCUUUACCUGUUUUCUGGUUUUCAGGGCAUAUUACACGAUCAUCUGCUAAGAACUAUGGGUACUCCAGUAGCCGACAAGAUUUUAUUUAGUCUGGUAACUUCUAUAAGCUCACACAGUGGGGUUGCCUGCAAGAUUAUAAUUCAUAAAUAAUUUCGUGAUGUAUCCGUUUUGGCUUUAAUUUUCCCUUGGAACAGUCCCUUCCCUACUUGUGAUCUUUCUUGCGCCACGAACUAUGAAACUGUGACUACCUUAUGAAUUAUAAUCUGAAUAGUUUAAAAGGUUUUGUGACCUACUUCUCUGACUAGCACGUGUACUUUGCACUGAACUACCGAUAGGAUAAGGACAACAAAUUGAAGAAUGGAAUGGAGUUUGAAGGCAGUGAAGAACAGCAUGUUCAGCUCAGCACUACGGAGCGUACUUUUCUGGUACAGUUCACUUAUUUCAUUUUUCCAUAUGUCAAUCCUGUGUGAAAAUGUCAUUUUGUUUAACUUUGUGGGUUGCUCUUUUUUGUUAAAAAAAAUUAGGCGAAGGAUCUUCCAGGGCAAUUGUCAUCGAAGGCUCAAGCUUUAGUCGAAGCACUGGAGGGAAAGGUUUGUCUGUAACCAAGAAAUAUUGUUUGACAAAUUGAUUGAAGCCUUGAAGUCCUUAGUUCUGUAUUUUUCUUGUUCUAAAUCUAGUAUGCAUAACAGCCUAAAUUCUGGUAAUAUGUUAGCACCUACAGUUAACAAUCAAACAUACCACAAAAACUUUAGUCUGGGUCUCUGGGUACAGCAGACAUUUGGAUGAUUAACAUGAUACAAUACUAUACAUUUUUGAGGCAAUGAAUCUGUAUAUAGAUGAAGUUCUUCCGUGAAGCUUCCUGCAUUAUGUUAAUCACCAGAUUGCCAAGAUUCUAUGUUGUAAAUACCCAACAUUCACAAUUUCUUGUUUGCUGCCUAUACCCUGUAAAACACCCUGUCAUUCUGUAGACUAACCACGAAACCCACUUCAUGUUAAUUUUCUGUGUGUUCUAUGACAUCAAUUAUUUGAUCCUGUAAUAACUAGUCAAUUAUAUAAGAUUGCAUGUAAGAAAGAUCUUCCUCACCAAUCUGUUAUACUUUGCUAGUUGAUAAAAUGUGCAUGUUCCUAAGCAUAUGACUUGUGAGUUCUUUGUUGUCUAAACACAUACACUAAAUAAAAAACCAAUAAGUGACUGUUGCUAUGUCUUUGAGAUCCACAACUUCUAAUAUAACUGGACUUUGUAGCUCUUUCUAACCUUUUCUCGAAAUCCACAACAGCGGUUUGAUUCAUUUAUGGACGCCUUAAGAGAUACAGCAGAGGAAAGGUAACAUUUUAUAUUUGUACUUGAUUUCCGCAUUGGCUGGAUUAUCAAAGUGCUUACUCUCUUUUUCAGUGGAUUGUUAUUUAAGAAGCUUGAUGAAAGACUUGAGCGAUCAAUGCUGCAUUCCCACCACAAGGUAUGUUCUUGGUAUCUUCUAUCUUGAUGGUAGUAUCAGAGCGUCUGGAAAACCAGUGGGAACUGACUUUCUUGAUCUGGGCCUAUCAGGUUUUUAGUUUUUGCUGGUUUAGUCCCUAAACGUUCCCCUUUGAUCCCCAGUUCAGGUGGAAUGAGUAUAUUAUCAGUUCAUCAUUUAUUUGAUAUGCCCCAAACACUGAUUGUUUCUUGUGUUUUCAUAUUCUAAACUUAGCAAACCGCACAAAUAACCUGAACCAUUCUGGUAGCACUUUUAAAAACCCUGUCUUACAGUACGAUCUUUGUUUCUAUGAAAAUAUGGUAUUCUCCACGGUUAAAAAAUUUGUUGUUUCUUGUGUUUUUAAGCAUCAAAGUAGUGCAAGUACAGAAUAGCAGAAUGCAAGUCAAAAUCACCACGAUAAUAUAAAUUUACCAAGAUUAUUAGACUCGUAGGCGCUCUUAUAGAUUGGUAGGGUGUGAAUUCAUACAUGCUAAGUUUCUUUAUGGAUGAAUUCUAGUGCUAAUUAUUUGACAGCUUACUUUCUAUGAAUUGAAGGAUUUGAUAGCACAAGUUUCUUCAGAAACUGAUCCAGUUUCCUUCCUCCCAAAAGUUGCUGCUCUACUUUUUCUCCAGGUUUGCUUGAUUGUAUCUUUCCUGAAAUAACACUCCUGCUUUCUCUCUGUAUUUACAGACUGACCAGAGAAACAUCCUUUUGGAAUAUUUUGUAGGCAUACAACAAGGCUCUUCAGGCACCUGGAAGUGCUGUUGGUGCUGUCAUCACACUACUGAAGGUAAUUUUUUAUUUGCAUUCGCUUUAAAAUAUACUUAAUGCAAGUCAAGUAGAAUAUGUUAACUUUUACUAACAGUAUCCUGAUCACAGAAUCCUUGAUACUAUAUUUGUCUGAUAUGUUGAAACAGCAUAAAAGAUAUUAUAAUUCCUGUACGUAGCUCCACGGCCUCACCAUUAUUUCCAGAAACUAGUGUUAACCAUCAAAUUCCUGCCGGCUUUUGGAUCGAUGAUCGACAGUUCUCUGCAUACUAGCCAUAGUAUCUUAGCCCCUUGGGUUUUAGUUUUAUAGCAGGCUUACAGAAUUAGGAUGUUUUGGCCUGUCUGUGAUGUUGGGUUAUUUCACAUAUUCAGAUAUAACACUGUUAAUUUUAGCAAAAUCUUUACCUGUGUGAUCAUCUGCCUCUGUUUUUCAGGACAAGCUACCAGCUGCAACCUUCAAGGUUUUAACUGAAUGUCACGCCACCACCGUGAAACUUCUCGCACUACAAGAUGCUGCUACGGGUGAUGUAAGUCCCACUCCAACAAUCUCGAAUACAUCAGUGCUCACUGUUGUGUGCAUUAGAAAAGGAUUAGUUUGUUAUAUCCUCCCAUAACUUUCAUCCGGGCUCUGCCCUGAACUCUAUACAUGUACUCUUAAUUUCUAUUUCGAGCUCUCCCCAUUUACCUGAAAUCAUCUGCUAUGGUCAAACAGUAACUACAUUGGAUUCAUGCAUUAACAUUUCUUUUGUCGGUAUCUAUCAUCUGCCGUGUGGAAAAACUACAAAAGAACUUGGACUACUGUCUGCGCCGCUCAUGCGUGCAAUGAUGCAUUGUCUCAUUUUUGCCAUGCAGGAAGACGAUUGCACAUCGGACCGAAUGCUGGAGAAGAAGGAAGACCUAGAAGAGAGGCUGAUGCCAGAACUCAAAUCCCUGGCCCUCGGCACGAGCAAAGAGCAGUGAGCAGGAAACAUUGUGUGCGUGGUGGUGCCCCAUGCCCUCGUGUAUGUAAAUGCACAGAUCUAUCUACCUAUCUAUCCUCCUCGGCACUGGAGCUGUGGCUGUUUCGUGUGAUAGCAGAAUCAACUUCUUAAAUGUUUAACGAGCAACCACAGCAUGUAUGAACUUCUUAAACACCUUGAAACUCUGCUACUUCCUUUCUGAACAAUGACUGCAAGCAAAUGUUUUUCGAGAACCUUUUAUCUUGUGAUCCACUAGACACCCAUUCUUUUCUUCAACUGCCACGCGAAACAUCCAAGUAUGAGAAGGCUGCAAACGCCCGUCACGGCAAGCCUCCAUUCGAACUCCAUUUGAAUGCACGUGGCAUUUUCAGUC
This 6767-nucleotide long non-coding RNA is filed under the name Triticum aestivum (bread wheat). RNAcentral's name for it is "long non-coding RNA (TAES_LNC026627)". The record is from RNAcentral. Lineage: Eukaryota; Viridiplantae; Streptophyta; Magnoliopsida; Poales; Poaceae.